CAUUUUUCCUAUAUAACUAACCCCCUUGAGAGUUGAGAUUUUUCAUAAUUAUCCCUACUCUACUCUACUUUGUUAAUUAAUGAGAUUAUUUAUCGUCUCUUGUAUGGAAAUGAAUUACAUAUGGAGUGAGUGAAGGCUAAAGUCUUUUUUAUUUAGUAAAUAUUAUCAAUUUUUUCCAUCCUUGCCUUCAACGAAUUCGAGUACUUGUAGCCAACCAGUGUAAGUUGGUUUUA
This 233-nucleotide long non-coding RNA is filed under the name Olea europaea subsp. europaea. The record is from RNAcentral. Lineage: Eukaryota; Viridiplantae; Streptophyta; Magnoliopsida; Lamiales; Oleaceae.